Molecule: unclassified non-coding RNA, 250 nt
Filed under: plant metagenome
Description: partial contains small subunit ribosomal RNA, internal transcribed spacer 1, and 5.8S ribosomal RNA
Rfam family: 5.8S ribosomal RNA (bases 185-250)
Source: RNAcentral
GUUGGUGAACCAGCGGAGGGAUCAUUAGCGAGUUCUAAACUCCCAACCCUCGUGGACAUACCAUCGUUGCUUCGGCGGGGCACCCUAAGCUUAGGGCGCGGCUCCCACUGGGGGCACCCGCCGAAGGCACGCAAAACAAACACUGCCUUCUGGAGAAUUCUGAGUAAACUACAAAUAAGUUAAAAACUUUCAGCAACGGAUCUCUUGGUUCUGGCAUCGAUGAAGAACGCAGCAUCUGACUGACUUCGCU